UUGACGGGGACCCGCACAAGCGGUGGAUGAUGUGGAUUAAUUCGAUGCAACGCGAAAACCUUACCACCUUUGACAUGUACGGAAUCCUUUAGAGAUAGAGGAGUGCUCGAAAGAGAGCCGUAACACAGGUGCUGCAUGGCUGUCGUCAGCUCGUGUCGUGAGAUGUUGGGUUAAGUCCCGCAACGAGCGCAACCCUUGUCAUUAGUUGCUACAUUCAGUUGGGCACUCUAAUGAGACUGCCGGUGACAAACCGGAGGAAGGUGGGGAUGACGUCAAGUCCUCAUGGCCCUUAUAGGUGGGGCUACACACGUCAUACAAUGGAUGGUACAAAGGGUCGCCAACCCGCGAGGGGGAGCCAAUCCCAUAAAGCCAUUCGUAGUCCGGAUCGCAGUCUGCAACUCGACUGCGUGAAGUCGGAAUCGCUAGUAAUCGUGGAUCAGAAUGUCACGGUGAAUACGUUCCCGGGUCUU
Molecule: ribosomal RNA, 470 nt
Filed under: uncultured Acidovorax sp.
Lineage: Bacteria; Pseudomonadati; Pseudomonadota; Betaproteobacteria; Burkholderiales; Comamonadaceae
Description: bacterial SSU rRNA
Rfam family: Bacterial small subunit ribosomal RNA
Source: RNAcentral